UACGAAGGGAGCUAGCGUUGUUCGGAAUCACUGGGCGUAAAGCGCACGUAGGCGGAUUUGUCAGUCAGGGGUGAAAUCCCGGGGCUCAACCUCGGAACUGCCUUUGAUACAGCAAGUCUUGAGUUCGAGAGAGGUGGGUGGAAUUCCUAGUGUAGAGGUGAAAUUCGUAGAUAUUAGGAAGAACACCGAUGGCGAAGGCGGCCCACUGGCUCGAUACUGACGCUGAGGUGCGAAAGCGUGGGGAGCAAACAGG
Molecule: ribosomal RNA, 253 nt
Filed under: uncultured bacterium
Lineage: Bacteria
Description: partial 16S ribosomal RNA
Rfam family: Bacterial small subunit ribosomal RNA
Source: RNAcentral